GCUCUGUUGUUAGGGAAGAACAAGUGCGAGAGUAACUGCUCGCACCAUGACGGUACCUAACCAGAAAGCCACGGCUAACUACGUGCCAGCAGCCGCGGUAAUACGUAGGUGGCAAGCGUUGUCCGGAAUUAUUGGGCGUAAAGGGCUCGCAGGCGGUUUCUUAAGUCUGAUGUGAAAGCCCCCGGCUCAACCGGGGAGGGUCAUUGGAAACUGGGAAACUUGAGUGCAGAAGAGGAGAGUGGAAUUCCACGUGUAGCGGUGAAAUGCGUAGAGAUGUGGAGGAACACCAGUGGCGAAGGCGACUCUCUGGUCUGUAACUGACGCUGAGGAGCGAAAGCGUGGGGAGCGAACAGGAUUAGAUACCCUGGUAGUCCACGCCGUAAACGAUGAGUGCUAAGUGUUAGGGGGUUUCCGCCCCUUAGUGCUGCAGCUAACGCAUUAAGCACUCCGCCUGGGGAGUACGGUCGCAAGACUGAAACUCAAAGGAAUUGACGGGGGCCCGCACAAGCGGUGGAGCAUGUGGUUUA
This 527-nucleotide ribosomal RNA is filed under the name Bacillus pumilus. Its description in RNAcentral is "bacterial SSU rRNA". It matches the Rfam family "Bacterial small subunit ribosomal RNA", at positions 430 to 948 of the family's 1533-position model. The record is from RNAcentral. Lineage: Bacteria; Bacillati; Bacillota; Bacilli; Caryophanales; Bacillaceae.